Molecule: non-coding RNA, 30 nt
Filed under: Mus musculus (house mouse)
Lineage: Eukaryota; Metazoa; Chordata; Mammalia; Rodentia; Muridae
Source: RNAcentral
UNGGACCUGAGAACUUAACCUUGUUAUGGG